Molecule: non-coding RNA, 73 nt
Organism: Gymnothorax javanicus (giant moray)
Lineage: Eukaryota; Metazoa; Chordata; Actinopteri; Anguilliformes; Muraenidae
Source: the annotation of a GenBank genome assembly
GGCACGGUGGUGCAGUGGUUAGCACUGUCACCUCGCAGCAAGAAGAUCGUGGGUUGGAACCCAGCCUGGGACC